UUUUUGACAUGCUUUGCAUGGCAGGCUCCCUGCACGUAUGUGCGGCCAACUGUCAUGGGGCUGUCUGUUCACUGUCCCGUUGAUUAGCAUUUUUGCUCGUUGGGGUCUCGCUGUGGGUUUGGCUGUGUGGAUCUACCCUUGUUGGUAGCACGAUUGUCCCGUUGUUGCCUGUUUAGCCUGCUAUGUGGAUGCUAUGCAUCGACAGGCGGCCGAUGUGUCAUCAAAUUCCAUGUGUCUCAAAGCGCUUGCGCUUUGGAAGUGCAUUUGGAUAUUUGUUGUGUCCCAUGGAUAUUGUGCCUGUCGGGAGGUCCAUCGGCUUCGUGCUUGUGGACCGAUGAGGUCGCCUUUGCACGGAUCAUUGCUGCGGAUGAAACUUCUCGGACAUGCUGUCGGUUUGGCGCAUGCUGGGUGACAUCAUAUCGCAUUCUCUGGUUAUGUGCGGGGGCGGGUGCCUCAUUGACCGAAUGACUUGCGAUUGCUGGUUUGCAUCGUCGUAAGG
RNAcentral lists this unclassified non-coding RNA (499 nucleotides) under Cyperus luzulae. RNAcentral describes it as "partial external transcribed spacer 1f". The record is from RNAcentral. Lineage: Eukaryota; Viridiplantae; Streptophyta; Magnoliopsida; Poales; Cyperaceae.